RNAcentral lists this ribosomal RNA (468 nucleotides) under uncultured bacterium. RNAcentral's name for it is "partial 16S ribosomal RNA". It matches the Rfam family "Bacterial small subunit ribosomal RNA", at positions 28 to 507 of the family's 1533-position model. The record is from RNAcentral.
GACGAACGCUGGCGGCGUGCUUAACACAUGCAAGUCGAACGGAAAGGCCCUGCUUUUGUGGGGUGCUCGAGUGGCGAACGGGUGAGUAACACGUGAGUAACCUGCCCUUCUCUUUGGGAUAACUUCAGGAAACUGGGGCUAAUACCAGAUAGGAUCUCCUGCUGCAUGGUGGGGGUUGGAAAGUUUCGGCGGUUGGGGAUGGACUCGCGGCUUAUCAGCUUGUUGGUGGGGUAGUGGCUUACCAAGGCUUUGACGGGUAGCCGGCCUGAGAGGGUGAACGGGCACAUUGGGACUGAGAUACGGCCCAGACUCCUACGGGAGGCAGCAGUGGGGAAUAUUGCACAAUGGGCGGAAGCCUGAUGCAGCAACGCCGCGUGCGUGAUGACGGCCUUCGGGUUGAAAACCGCUUUCGCCUGUGACGAAGCGUGAGUGACGGUAAUGGGUAAAGAAGCACCGGCUAACUACGUG